This is a long non-coding RNA of Mercenaria mercenaria, 548 nucleotides long. RefSeq lists it as uncharacterized. The record is from RefSeq and is a predicted model, not a curated record. Lineage: Eukaryota; Metazoa; Mollusca; Bivalvia; Venerida; Veneridae. The transcript is spliced from 3 exons.
UUUAUGUCAUGAAAAUCACGAAAAUAUUUGUGGAAGACAUUUAGUAAAUCUACUAUUGUUACGAGUGUAGAUCUAGAUCUAUAUAAUAUUAACAAAUUUAAUAAUAAUAAAUUAUCAGUUAGAAACUUAGAAUCUAGAUACUUACAACUUAUGUAGAGUCUAUAAGGCGGCUCGAAAAGAUGUUUCUGCUCUGUCGUCAUAACACGUGCGAUGACGUAGAUAAAAAUGACGUCAUCCGGCCCAGCGCUUUCGGCUGCAGAUCUUCACCGCCGCCAUUUGUGAUAUAAUACAGCUAAGCCUAAGACCUCUAACUAGAUCAAUGAGUAUGUGUGCUGUGCUGUGCUGUGCUGUGCUGUGCUUAGAUAUUGUUAUGAAGUAAUGCAACCUGAUGUUGUACAACUACAGGACUCUCAAUCUCACUCAAGUUGAUGGGUCAGUUGCACGAAUGGUAACUGUAAUUCACACUGGUCACGGGAAAAAGUGCCGCUGUGUGGGAAUCAAUUGUAGUUUCUCCGGUUUGUAUUUCGUAUGUUUUUACAGCAAUUUAA